Molecule: ribosomal RNA, 500 nt
Filed under: uncultured bacterium
Lineage: Bacteria
Description: partial 16S ribosomal RNA
Rfam family: Bacterial small subunit ribosomal RNA
Source: RNAcentral
AUUGAACGCUGGCGGAAUGCUUUACACAUGCAAGUCGAACGGCAGCACGGACUUCGGUCUGGUGGCGAGUGGCGAACGGGAGAGUAAUGUAUCGGAACGUGCCCAGUCGUGGGGGAUAACGUAGUGAAAAUUACGCUAAUACCGCAUACGAUCUCUGGAUGAAAGCGGGGGAUCGCAAGACCUCGCGCGAUUGGCGCGGCCGAUAUCAGAUUAGGUAGUUGGUGGGGGAAAGGCCCACCAAGCCAACGAUCUGUAGCUGGUCGGAGAGGACACCCAGGGACACUGGAACGGAGACACGGACCCGACUCCUACUGGAGGAAGAGAUGAUGUAGUUUGGUCAAUGGGCGAAACCCUGUUCCAGCCAUUCCGCGUGCAGGAUGAAGGCCCUCGGGUUGUAAACUGCUUUUGUACAGAGCAAAAAGAUGUCUACUAAAACUAGGAGCUCAUGACGGUACUGUAAAGAUAAGCACCGGCUAACUACGUGCCAGCAGCCGCCGUAA